AAGCAUAUAAUUAAGCGGAGGAAAAGAAACUAACCAGGAUUCCCCCAGUAAGGGCGACUGAAGCGGGAAGAGCUCAGGAUGUGAAUCUGCGCCAGCCUGUCGCGGCGCCGAAUUGUGGUCUGUCGACUGCGGCAUUACCGGCCGGGCCAAGUCCCUUGGAACAGGGCAGCUGAGAGGGUGAGACUCCCGUUCGCCUGGCUGGAUGAGCCGCAAGUCCAAGAGUCGAGUUGUUUGGGAUUGCAGCUCCAAGCGGGUGGUAAAUUCCAUCUAAAGCUAAAUAUUGGUGGGAGACCGAUAGCGUACAAGUACCGUGAGGGAAAGAUGCAAAGAACUUUGAAAAGAGAGUUAAAGAGUACCUGAAACUGUUGAAAGGGAAGCGAAGGAAACCAGUGCCGGCUCAGUCAUACUUCCCUGUCUGCUUGCAGAUUGGGCGCUGUGGUUGGCCUGUGUUGUCCUUGGUUGAAUCCGCCGGAAGAGCGCAGUGAGAGUUGAUCUCUGUUGCUAGCGGCGGUUUUGACUGAGGAUGACGAAAUGGUUUUCUUUACCCCGUCUUG
RNAcentral lists this ribosomal RNA (554 nucleotides) under Nitzschia sp. (in: diatoms). Its description in RNAcentral is "Nitzschia sp. (in: Bacillariophyta) partial 28S ribosomal RNA". It matches the Rfam family "Eukaryotic large subunit ribosomal RNA", at positions 36 to 656 of the family's 3401-position model. Lineage: Eukaryota; Bacillariophyta; Bacillariophyceae; Bacillariales; Bacillariaceae. The record is from RNAcentral.